GACGGUAUAGCUCAGUGAUAGAGUGCAUGCCUAGCAUGCACAAGGUCCUGGGUUCAAUCCUCAGUACCUCUG
This is a transfer RNA of Camelus ferus (Wild Bactrian camel), 72 nucleotides long. It matches the Rfam family "tRNA". From Rfam's summary of the family: Transfer RNA (tRNA) molecules are approximately 80 nucleotides in length. Their secondary structure includes four short double-helical elements and three loops (D, anti-codon, and T loops). Further hydrogen bonds mediate the characteristic L-shaped molecular structure. tRNAs have two regions of fundamental functional importance: the anti-codon, which is responsible for specific mRNA codon recognition, and the 3' end, to which the tRNAs corresponding amino acid is attached (by aminoacyl-tRNA synthetases). tRNAs cope with the degeneracy of the genetic code in two manners: having more than one tRNA (with a specific anti-codon) for a particular amino acid; and 'wobble' base-pairing, i.e. permitting non-standard base-pairing at the 3rd anti-codon position. NCBI's taxonomy places the organism in Eukaryota, Metazoa, Chordata, Mammalia, Artiodactyla, Camelidae. The record is from Rfam.